Long non-coding RNA from Fukomys damarensis (Damara mole-rat), 218 nucleotides. RefSeq lists it as uncharacterized. The record is from RefSeq and is a predicted model, not a curated record. NCBI's taxonomy places the organism in Eukaryota, Metazoa, Chordata, Mammalia, Rodentia, Bathyergidae. The transcript is spliced from 4 exons.
GUGGGCUCCCAAGCAUUCGGACUGAAAAGGAGGGUGGGUCCCCUGCCCGGGUCCCUAAGUGUUAAGAAGCGAAACAGCCACCGAUAAAAGGAUGAAGAUUUUAGAUUUUCUGUCCAUCAGAAUCUCAGCCUACUGGAAGAGACAGGUCUCUCAUUCCAUUGGAACACUCCUGCACAACCUUCAAUGUGGUGCGGUUGGGGAGGAGAUGAAAAAAGAAC